GCUAGGAUGAACGCUAGCUACAGGCUUAACACAUGCAAGUCGAGGGGCAGCAUUGGGAUAGCUUGCUAUUCAGAUGGCGACCGGCGCACGGGUGAGUAACGCGUAUCCAACCUUCCUGCCAGUAGGGAACAGCCCGGCGAAAGUCGGAUUAAUGCCCUAUGUUCUUCAAUGCGGACAUCUAAGUUGAAGGAAAGAUUCAUCGCUGGCAGAUGGGGAUGCGUCCGAUUAGCUUGCCGGCGGGGUAACGGCCCACCGGGGCGACGAUCGGUAGGGGUUCUGAGAGGAAGGUCCCCCACACUGGUACUGAGACACGGACCAGACUCCUACGGGAGGCAGCAGUGAGGAAUAUUGGUCAAUGGGCGUAAGCCUGAACCAGCCAAGUAGCGUGCAAGGAUGACGGCCCUACGGGUUGUAAACUGCUUUUUAUGCGGGGAUAAAGUGCGGCACGUGUGCCGCUUUGCAGGUACCGCAUGAAUAAGGACCGGCUAAUUCCGUGCCAGCCGCGGC
This 507-nucleotide ribosomal RNA is filed under the name uncultured bacterium. RNAcentral describes it as "bacterial SSU rRNA". It matches the Rfam family "Bacterial small subunit ribosomal RNA", at positions 26 to 518 of the family's 1533-position model. The record is from RNAcentral.